UACGAAGGGUGCAAGCGUUACUCGGAAUUACUGGGCGUAAAGCGUGCGUAGGUGGUGAUUUAAGUCCGUUGUGAAAGCCCUGGGCUCAACCUGGGAAUUGCAGUGGAUACUGGGUCACUAGAGUGUGGUAGAGGAUAGUGGAAUUUCCGGUGUAGCAGUGAAAUGCGUAGAGAUCGGAAGGAACAUCUGUGGCGAAGGCGACUAUCUGGGCCAACACUGACACUGAGGCACGAAAGCGUGGGGAGCAAAC
Molecule: ribosomal RNA, 250 nt
Filed under: uncultured Pseudoxanthomonas sp.
Lineage: Bacteria; Pseudomonadati; Pseudomonadota; Gammaproteobacteria; Lysobacterales; Lysobacteraceae
Description: partial 16S ribosomal RNA
Rfam family: Bacterial small subunit ribosomal RNA
Source: RNAcentral